CCCUUAGAUGUUCUGGGCUGCACGCGCGCUACACUGAAGCUAUCAACACGUUUUCCCUCCCUGAGAAGGGCGGGUAACCUUUUGAAUCAGCUUCGUGGUAGGGAUCUGGGCUUGCAAUUGUUCCCCGUGAACCAGGAAUUCCUAGUAGACGCGAGUCAUAAGCUCGCAUCGAUUAAGUCCCUGCCCUUUGUACACACCGCCCGUCGCUACUACCGAUUGAACGUUUUAGUGAGGCAUUUGGACCGACGCAUCUCAGUUUAACCGCUGGUUUGUGUUGGAAAGACUUCCAAACUUGAGCGUUUAGAGGAAGUAAAAGUCGUAACA
This 324-nucleotide ribosomal RNA is filed under the name uncultured eukaryote. Its description in RNAcentral is "partial 18S ribosomal RNA". It matches the Rfam family "Eukaryotic small subunit ribosomal RNA", at positions 1470 to 1796 of the family's 1831-position model. The record is from RNAcentral.